This 45-nucleotide non-coding RNA is filed under the name Schistosoma mansoni. Lineage: Eukaryota; Metazoa; Platyhelminthes; Trematoda; Strigeidida; Schistosomatidae. The record is from RNAcentral.
AUUCAGCUAAUGUGUCCCAAAUAGGACGAGAUGUUCAUCCUGGAU